GAACUGUGAUAAGUGAUGUGAAUUGCAGACGUACACGAAUCAUCGAACCCUUGAACGCAUUCUGCGCCUCGAAGCUGUCUUCGGGGCAUAUCUGGAUGAGUGUCGGUUUAACCUCCUUGCAUAAUCUAUUUAUGCAGUUUUUGAUAGUAAAUUGACCUAGUCAAUUAGGUUAAAUUUUCUAUUAAAAUACAUGGGUAUCCUCGCAUAGGAUUUGGCAAAACCGGAGCAAACCCUUUGAAUGGUUAGAAGUAACUUGUUUACUACUCUUCAUUCUGGGCUAUCUGAUGAACCAAAUUGUUCCUAGUCGCGUAGGGGAUCAUGCUUGUUAAACCUUCGAAUCAAACCUUCGACCUCAUCUAGGUAAGAUUACCCGCUGAAGUUAAGC
RNAcentral lists this unclassified non-coding RNA (385 nucleotides) under plant metagenome. RNAcentral describes it as "partial contains 5.8S ribosomal RNA, internal transcribed spacer 2, and large subunit ribosomal RNA". The stretch from base 1 to 105 matches the Rfam family "5.8S ribosomal RNA", at positions 50 to 154 of the family's 154-position model. The record is from RNAcentral.